AGAGUUUGAUCCUGGCUCANRNUGAACGCUGGCGGUAUGCUUAAUACAUGCAAGUCGUACGAGGGCUUUUAGCCCUAGUGGCGGACGGGUGAGUAACACGUGAGAAUCUGCCCUUAGGAGGAGGAUAACAGCUGGAAACGGUUGCUAAUACUCCAUAUGCCGAGAGGUGAAAGGAAUUUCUGCCUAAGGAGGAGCUCGCGUCUGAUUAGCUAGUUGGUAGGGUAAAGGCCUACCAAGGCGACGAUCAGUAGCUGGUUUGAGAGGAUGAUCAGCCACACUGGGACUGAGACACGGCCCAGACUCCUACGGGAGGCAGCAGUAGGGAAUUUUCCGCAAUGGGCGAAAGCCUGACGGAGCAAUACCGCGUGAGGGAUGACGGCCUGUGGGUUGUAAACCUCUUUUCUCAAGGAAGAAGUUCUGACGGUACUUGAGGAAUAAGCAUCGGCUAACUCUGUGCCAGCAGCCGCGGUAAUACAGAGGAUGCAAGCGUUAUCCGGAAUCACUGGGCAUAAAGCGUCUGUAGGUGGUUUGGUAAGUCUGCUGUUAAAGACUGGGGCUCAACCCCAGAAAAGCAGUGGAAACUGCCAGACUUGAGUGUGGUAGAGGUAAA
RNAcentral lists this ribosomal RNA (610 nucleotides) under uncultured Cryptophyta. RNAcentral describes it as "SSU rRNA". It matches the Rfam family "Bacterial small subunit ribosomal RNA", at positions 8 to 661 of the family's 1533-position model. The record is from RNAcentral. Lineage: Eukaryota; Cryptophyceae.